This is a long non-coding RNA of Malaya genurostris, 1153 nucleotides long. RefSeq lists it as uncharacterized. The record is from RefSeq and is a predicted model, not a curated record. The transcript is spliced from 3 exons. Lineage: Eukaryota; Metazoa; Arthropoda; Insecta; Diptera; Culicidae.
UUCCUGCUUUUUUCGGUAAUUUCUCCAGAGCAGAUUAAAAGAUGAUAGCUUUAGUAAUUAUUAUCGGUAAAUAAUUGGAGAGAAGGAUUGCUAAGAGUGCCGUAAUAAUCAAAAGAGAAAGUAAACAAAGAGAAUCUCUCAUUGUUACAUACGUCGUUUUGAACAUUUUAUACAGAUAUUUAAAUAAUUCGCGAGAUUGUUUAUAGCUUUACAAAUGACAAAUGUGUCCACCUCUACUAAAUAUUUUGAGCUAGCAAGUCCAAAUCAGUAUCACUCAGAUGUAAAAAAAGAACUGGCAUUCCUGAUUACAUAAAAACUGUUGUUCCAGCCUUAUGGCGUGCGCGUUUUUCUUUUGUGACUCAAUUUGUGGUGAAAAUGGGGAAAACACGGAAAACCAAUUCCCAAAAGUUGAUGCUGAGAAUGGCCAACACUGUGAAUAUGGGAUUUAUGAAAGAAAAUGUUACGGUGAACAAGCCAGAAGAAAAUAAAACAUUGGGUAUGAAGCGUACGAGACAUCCACUGCGAAAGGUAACACGAAAUACAAAAAUAUUGAAGACGACCAUGCAUGAAGAAAUUAAAAACAUUGGUUCUGAUUCGGAAGAAGAAUGCGUCCAGGAGAUCGCUGUGGACAACACUAGACAGGAUUUGGAGAAACAAGAUGAGCUAAUUCAAUUAGCGGACUCCAGUGAAGCUGAAAAAGGUCAAUCGAGUGCAGUGUCCGAUGUAAAUCCUACCGCAGCAAUCAUCCCAAAUUUUUUGGCAAAAUCACGAACCUUGAGGACGAUAACCUGAAGUUGCGGAAUCUAAACAUGAAGCUGCAAACAGCAUUAAUUGACAAACCCGGAGAAGUUUCUUUUAAAGAGUUUCCGGAAAGAAAUCGAAUAAUCCAAGCGGAAAGCGUAAACCGAGUUUGAAUGAAGCUUCUCAAGUCAUUGAAGCGUGUAAUCCGGAGAAACUGGAUCCGGAAAAGGUUGAGUACAUAAAAGAUCGACUUUUCGAACGCAGCACUUUUUUAAAAGAUUCUUCAGGAACAGCUAUCAAAGUUGCAAGAAAAGUGGCAAAGUUCAUAGCGAUUGUGGUGGCCAACAAUCCAAAUCUUCGGCGGGCUACUUUAUUAUUGAUCUGUUGUUUUCUUAACCUUGAGGUAUUUCGA